GGGCCCGCACAAGCGGUGGAGCAUGUGGUUCAAUUCGACGCAACGCGAAGAACCUUACCCAGGCUUGAACAGCGAGUGACCAUCGACGAAAGUCGACUUCCGCAAGGACACUCGUAGAGGUGCUGCAUGGCUGUCGUCAGCUCGUGUCGUGAGAUGUUGGGUUAAGUCCCGCAACGAGCGCAACCCUUGUUUGCUGUUGCCAUCAGGUUAUGCUGGGCACUCUGCAAAGACUGCCGGUGAUAAACCGGAGGAAGGUGGGGAUGACGUCAAGUCAGCAUGGCCUUUAUGUCUGGGGCUACACACGUGCUACAAUGGCCGGUACAAACCGUCGCGAUACCGUAAGGUGGAGCUAAUCGGAGAAAGCCGGUCUCAGUUCGGAUAGCAGGCUGCAACUCGCCUGCUUGAAGUUGGAAUCGCUAGUAAUCGCGGAUCAGCACGCCGCGGUGAAUACGUUCCCGGGCCUU
Molecule: ribosomal RNA, 464 nt
Filed under: uncultured bacterium
Lineage: Bacteria
Description: bacterial SSU rRNA
Rfam family: Bacterial small subunit ribosomal RNA
Source: RNAcentral